This 158-nucleotide ribosomal RNA is filed under the name Madracis decactis. Its description in RNAcentral is "5.8S ribosomal RNA". It matches the Rfam family "5.8S ribosomal RNA". Rfam says of the family: 5.8S ribosomal RNA (5.8S rRNA) is a component of the large subunit of the eukaryotic ribosome. It is transcribed by RNA polymerase I as part of the 45S precursor that also contains 18S and 28S rRNA. Functionally, it is thought that 5.8S rRNA may be involved in ribosome translocation. The record is from RNAcentral. Lineage: Eukaryota; Metazoa; Cnidaria; Anthozoa; Scleractinia; Pocilloporidae.
AACUUUUGACGGUGGAUCUCUUGGCUCACGCAUCGAUGAAGAACGCGGCCAGCUGCGAUAAGUAGUGUGAAUUGCAGAAUUCAGUGAAUCAUCGAAUCUUUGAACGCAAAUGGCGCUCUUGGGUUCUCCCAGGAGCAUGUCUGUCUGAGUGUCGGAUA